Molecule: long non-coding RNA, 269 nt
Organism: Erinaceus europaeus (western European hedgehog)
Lineage: Eukaryota; Metazoa; Chordata; Mammalia; Eulipotyphla; Erinaceidae
Exons: 3
Source: RefSeq, a predicted model, not a curated record
GAAUUUCCUGCCUAGAGAGGAUGCUUAGACAAGUCCACCUUUCUCUCCUCUAACAUGCCAGAGGAUGUUACCAGGGGCAGCUGGCUUUGCAGAAAUAUAGUUGGAGAUGACCCCCAGGAAAAAAAAAAAAGAAAACUUCUCCUUCAGUGUGUUCCCCACUGAGCAGCAAGAGGUGGUGGUACAAAUGGUUGAGAGCAGACAUUACAAUGCACAAGGACCCAGAUUCAAGCCCCCAGACAGCAACUGGAGGGAGGAAACUUCAGGAGGUU